AUGUACCACGCGUAUUCUGCGGUUUAUCCGCGCAGUCUGCAUCCACCUGGUGAAUGCUCGCUACGUUUUGUUAGCC
RNAcentral lists this small RNA (76 nucleotides) under Xanthomonas fragariae. Its description in RNAcentral is "sX9 sRNA". It matches the Rfam family "Xanthomonas sRNA sX9". The record is from RNAcentral. Lineage: Bacteria; Pseudomonadati; Pseudomonadota; Gammaproteobacteria; Lysobacterales; Lysobacteraceae.